RNAcentral lists this ribosomal RNA (251 nucleotides) under uncultured bacterium. Its description in RNAcentral is "partial 16S ribosomal RNA". It matches the Rfam family "Bacterial small subunit ribosomal RNA", at positions 524 to 776 of the family's 1533-position model. The record is from RNAcentral.
UACGUAGGGGGCAAGCGUUGUCCGGAUUUAUUGGGCGUAAAGCGCUCGCAGGUGGUUCGAUGCGUCGUGCGUGAAAGACCCUGGCUCAACUGGGAGGUGUCGUGCGAUACGGUCGGACUGGAGGCCAGUAGGGGGAUGCGGAAUUCCGGGUGUAGUGGUGGAAUGCGUAGAGAUCCGGAGGAACACCAGCGGCGAAGGCGGCAUCCUGGACUGGUCCUGACACUCAUGAGCGAAAGCGUGGAGCGAUCCGG